CUACGGGUGGCAGCAGUGGGGAAUAUUGCACAAUGGGCGCAAGCCUGAUGCAGCCAUGCCGCGUGUAUGAAGAAGGCCUUCGGGUUGUAAAGUACUUUCAGCGGGGAGGAAGGGAGUAAAGUUAAUACCUUUGCUCAUUGACGUUACCCGCAGAAGAAGCACCGGCUAACUCCGUGCCAGCAGCCGCGGUAAUACGGAGGGUGCAAGCGUUAAUCGGAAUUACCGGGCGUAAAGCGCACGCAGGCGGUUUGUUAAGUCAGAUGUGAAAGCCCCGGGCUCAACCUGGGAACUGCAUCUGAUACUGGCAAGCUUGAGUCUCGUAGAGGGGGGUAGAAUUCCAGGUGUAGCGGUGAAAUGCGUAGAGAUCUGGAGGAAUACCGGUGGCGAAGGCGGCCCCCUGGACGAAGACUGACGCUCAGGUGCGAAAGCGUGGGGAGCAAACAGGAUUAGAUACCCUAGUAGUC
RNAcentral lists this ribosomal RNA (464 nucleotides) under uncultured bacterium. Its description in RNAcentral is "partial 16S ribosomal RNA". It matches the Rfam family "Bacterial small subunit ribosomal RNA", at positions 339 to 795 of the family's 1533-position model. The record is from RNAcentral.